RNAcentral lists this ribosomal RNA (51 nucleotides) under Aspergillus flavus. RNAcentral describes it as "partial 28S ribosomal RNA". Lineage: Eukaryota; Fungi; Ascomycota; Eurotiomycetes; Eurotiales; Aspergillaceae. The record is from RNAcentral.
CUCGGAUCAGGUAGGGAUACCCGCUGAACUUAAGCAUAUCAAUAAGCGGAG